Molecule: ribosomal RNA, 465 nt
Filed under: Vreelandella stevensii
Lineage: Bacteria; Pseudomonadati; Pseudomonadota; Gammaproteobacteria; Oceanospirillales; Halomonadaceae
Description: partial 16S ribosomal RNA
Rfam family: Bacterial small subunit ribosomal RNA
Source: RNAcentral
CCUACGGGGGGCUGCAGUGGGGAAUAUUGGACAAUGGGCGAAAGCCUGAUCCAGCCAUGCCGCGUGUGUGAAGAAGGCCUUCGGGUUGUAAAGCACUUUCAGUGGGGAAGAAAGCCUUGGGGCUAAUACCCUCGAGGAAGGACAUCACCCACAGAAGAAGCACCGGCUAACUCCGUGCCAGCAGCCGCGGUAAUACGGAGGGUGCGAGCGUUAAUCGGAAUUACUGGGCGUAAAGCGCGCGUAGGCGGUCUGAUAAGCCGGUUGUGAAAGCCCCGGGCUCAACCUGGGAACGGCAUCCGGAACUGUCAGGCUAGAGUGCAGGAGAGGAAGGUAGAAUUCCCGGUGUAGCGGUGAAAUGCGUAGAGAUCGGGAGGAAUACCAGUGGCAAAGGCGGCCUUCUGGACUGACACUGACGCUGAGGUGCGAAAGCGUGGGUAGCAAACAGGAUUAGAUACCCCAGUAGUC